This 779-nucleotide non-coding RNA is filed under the name Palaestes abruptus. The record is from RNAcentral. Lineage: Eukaryota; Metazoa; Arthropoda; Insecta; Coleoptera; Cucujidae.
UAAAAGUUUUAUUUUGAUUUAAAAAUUAAAUAUAAUUUUUAUUUAUAUAUAAAUUUUUGUAUAAUAGUUAUUAAUUUUAAAUAAAUUUUUAAUUUAAAUAUUGUAAUAAUUGGUUUUAUAAAUUAAGGAAAUUUAGAUUUAGAAAUAAUUAUUAAUAUUAACUAAAUUUGUGCCAGCAGUUGCGGUUAUACAAAUAAUAUAAUUUAAUUUUUUUGGUUUUAAUAAAUUUAGAUAAUUUUAAAUUUUAUUUUAAGAUUUAUUAGGUGAAAUUUUAAAUUUUAUUAUAAUUUUGUUUUAAUUAAUUAAUUAGGAAAUUUUAAUUUUAAACUAGGAUUAGAUACCCUAUUAUAAAAAGUGUAAAGAAAAUUAACCAGAUUAGUAUUAGAUAUGUUCUUGAAAAUUAAAAAAUUUGGCGGUAUUUUAGUCUAUUCAGAGGAAUCUGUUCUGUAAUCGAUAAUCCACGAUUAAAUUUACUUAAUUUAGAAAUUUGUAUAUCGUCGUGAUUAAAUAUUUUAUUAGAAUUUUAAUUUUUAUAAAUUUUAAUUAGAAAAUAGAUCAGAUCAAGGUGCAGUUUAUAGUUAAGGAGAAAUGGAUUACAAUAAAUUUAUUUAAUUGGAUAAUUAUUUUAAAAAUUUUUUGAAAUUGGAUUUGAAGGUAAUUUUUAUUUUAAUAUAAAAAUGAUUUAAGCUCUAAAAUAUGUACAUAUCGCCCGUCGCUUUCAUUAUAAAGUGAAAUAAGUCGUAACAAAGUAGGCUUACUGGAAUGUGAGCCUGGAAUGA